This 3514-nucleotide long non-coding RNA is filed under the name Sus scrofa (pig). RNAcentral's name for it is "lncRNA (ENSSSCG00030066532.1)". Lineage: Eukaryota; Metazoa; Chordata; Mammalia; Artiodactyla; Suidae. The record is from RNAcentral.
UUCACUCCCCACCCCCAUCCCUCAGCAUCUGAGCUCUACCUGAGGGUGUCAAGUCACCUCUGUGAGCCUUGGUUUCCCCAUCUGUGAGCAGGUGGAUCUGAGUUCCAAGGUUCCUUCCAGCCAUCUGUGUGAGACACCCCCACACGGUGUCCAGUAACAGCAGGUGCAUAAUAAAUGUGUUUGUGGACCUACCCUCCCCAGUGCUGGGCACAAGGGCACACAGAGGAGAAAUAUGAGUAAAUGUCGCCUUUGUCCAGGAAAUGGGGACCCAGACCGCUGGACACACACCGGACAACAGCCGGCCCUCACAUUUGUGCUGGAUGGUACCGUCUACAAAGGGAUUUUGCUGCGUGUGCUGCUCCCUGUGAUUCUCAUGGAGGAAACUCCACAUCUCAGGCUGAGGGCAAUUUGUGAUGGACUGUGGCUUGUGGUGAGAGAAGCACCAACCAAGUUCACCGCAGCCUCAAGUAGAGGUGAGGGUUGGGGCCAGACACAGGGCUGUGGGGGCGGCAGGGGCACCUAGGCAGCACUGCCACCUUCCUGUUUGUCAGCCAAGAGAGGCUGCGGAGGGCAACACACAAGUGGGUCACCGCUCAGGCUGGCUACCGCUGCCAGGCCAGCCUGGGCAGGUCGGUGCCGCCAGAGCCAGAGGCUUCCCCAGGACCUGAGGUGUCCUGGCUCCUGGGAACUGCAGCAAACUCUCUGGCCAGCCCUGCUUUAUGUGUAAAUCCCUUUAAUUUGCAUAACAAGCCUAGAAAAAAACAAUACCCAUUUUGCCGAUGAGGAAACUGAGGCAUAGAGAAGUUAAGUAACUUCCACAAAGUCAUCGGUAAGUGACAAAGCCAGGCUUUAUUCUCUUAUUCAUUAUGCCACAUGGUUAAGUAAUUAACACGAGUAGAUGUAUGUAUGUUUAAUUGAUUAAAAGUCAUGAGUAGCAACAAUUUCACUGCUUCCUGAUUCAUCUCCCUGAACCCCAUCUUGAUAAUGUCUUUACCCUGUGUAAAAGCAUCCAUUAGCUCUUCCUGCCAAUUUAUAAAGUAGAAAUCCUUAAUCUGUCAUCCAAAGCCCUCUUUCCUGUCCAAUUUCCCCCCUUUCCCCCAGAAUUCUAGUAACAGCUCUUUCCCUACCUGCCUUACUAGCUCAGUGGGACUGACUCCCACCCUUGCUGUGCUUCAGACCAGUCAUAUGCCCAGACUUGGCCAAUCAUGUCACAGACUCCCCCAGCCAUCGUGGGUGGUUUAGGGAGAGACACAUGACCCAGCAGAGCCAAUGAGGAUCUGUUCUGGGACUUCUCUCUGAACUCUUGGGAAAAGAAAACCUCUGGAGUUCCCGUCGUGGCACAGUGGUUAACGAAUCCGACUAGGAACCAUGAGGUUGCGGGUUCGAUCCCUGGCCUUGCUCAGUGGGUUAAGGAUCCGGCGUUGCCAUGAGCUGUGGUGUAGGUUGCAGACGCGGCUCGGAUCCCGCGUUGCUGUGGCUGUGGUGUAGGCUGGCAGCUACAGCUCCGAUUAGACCCCUAGCCUGGGAACCUCCAUAUGCCGUGAGAGUGGCCCAAGAAAUGGCAAAAAGGCAAAAAAAAAAGAAAAAAGAAAAGAAAAGAAAGAAAGAAAAUCUCUCCUAAAGAUGGGGUGCCUGGGCGAAUAAAACUGAGCCAGGAGCUGCCUGCAGCCCCUGUUCCCCUUGACUUCCAAAUAGUUUUCACUCCUUUGAAUAAUUCUGAAUCGUAAUUUUCUCCUACAGUCUUCAUUUCACCAGUAAUAUCACAGCACUCAAGGGCUUACAUGGUUUCACAAAUUUAUGGUGUUCAAAGCUGGCUUUAACCUUCUGGCUUCCCUGGCCACAGUGGCGGUCUGAGUCUUGCUUGCUUUCUGCUGAUGGCGGGGAAGGACUUAGCCUACCUGCCCUUCCUCCAGGGUUGGUUCUCAGACUGCAGAUGCUCUGCCUCACUCUUCUCUCACGGGGGCAACAAAAGAGAGUUGGGAAAUGGCCCUAAAUGGACCAGAGGCUGGUGGUGAAGCAGAGAGAAGUUCAAAGUUGGGGCUAGAAGACUUCGGUUAGAGUCUAAACUUUGCCAUUUACUAAUGUUAAACACGAGCGUUCUCGUGCACAUUAGUUAAUCUCCCCGAGGCUCAGUUUCUCCAUCCGUAAAAUGGGUACUUCUGGAAGGUAAACGAGAUGUGAUCUCAUCUAGGCUGUAGGCUGUAGAGCACCAUGCUUCUUGGUUGUUGCCUUAAGGAUAGAAACGGGUUUUUCCUCUCCCGGGUGUCACUGAACUUCUAAUCAUUGUGAGAUGGGUGACUGAGGGCAGGUCUUUGAACACCCAGAUGAGGUGUCGCUGUAGCAUCCUCAGCCAGCGUCAACCAUAUAUGGACCCUGGGUCAGAGUUUGCAAAUUAAGUGACUAAAUGAGAAUUGUGUCCAAAGACAAAUGUAGACAUUGUCUUACUUUAGUUUUGGUUAUUCUAAGGGACCCUGCUGCCCACAGUAAAAUAUUGCACAGAACUCAGCAAUUCCAUGUUGAAACUGAGACCCUAUUUGUGACUUAAAGUGACUUCAGAACUCUCUUUUACCUAAGAGUGGACAGAAAAGGCCUGGGCCUGCAGGAGUUUUCAUUCCGAAACAGGGGCAAAUACUCAUGAAAGAAAACGUAAACGUAGGUGGAGGACAAAGCAUUGUGUUUUGAUGAUACUAGGAAUUGUGCUGGUUCAGUGAACCAUUUAUACCUGCAAUUGCAGAAGUUAUGAGGGAACCUGAGAGUCUAAAGUUAGACCCAAAAUGGAGGAGUUCCCGUCAUGGCUAAGUGGUUAAUGAAUCCGACUAGGAACCAUGAGGUUGGGGGUUCGAUCCCUGGCCUUGCUCAGCGGGUUAAGGAUCCCGCGUUGCUGUGGCUGUGGUGUAGGCCACAGACACAGCUCAGAUCCCAUGUUGCUGUGGCUGUGGCAUAGCCUGGUGGCUACAGCUCCAAUCCAACCCCUAGCCUGGGAACCUCCAUAUUUUGAGGGUGUGGCCCUAAAAAGCCAAAAAAAGAAAAAAAAAAAAAGUUAGAUCCAGAAGCCUCUGAGGGCAUGGGGGCAGGAGGUGGGGAGUCUCUUGGCUAAAAGUAUGAAUUAAACCCCCAAAGUCUUCCCAGCCUAUUGCCCCCGUUCCUGGGGCCUCCGUCCUUGAAUCUCACGGCCUCUCCCAGGGGCUGCUAAAAGUCUAAAAGUCUGAGUCAGUUCCUAAACCUCCCUCCCCCAGGCCCCAGUUGUAGGAAGGGGUGCGCCUGAGCAGCAAGCCAAGCCCUAUUCAGUCUGGACCCAGAUUCUCAGCCAUGGGCUGGUCUGGGGUCUGGGCGGUGGCCAGCCCAUGAGUGGUCAUUACCGCCGAGGCACAGGAAGCUAAUGUGGGUCCCCCAGGCCCCCACCUCCAUGUGGGCAGUGAAUGGCCCUGGCCCUGGGUAAGAUGGUAUCAGCAGGCACCUGCCCACUCCUUGCUGGGUUCCCAGGCCCCUGGAGCCCUCUUGUAAUAGAAGCCAU